GUGGGGAAUAUUGGACAAUGGGCGAAAGCCUGAUCCAGCCAUGCCGCGUGUGUGAAGAAGGUCUUCGGAUUGUAAAGCACUUUAAGUUGGGAGGAAGGGCAGUAAGUUAAUACCUUGCUGUUUUGACGUUACCGACAGAAUAAGCACCGGCUAACUUCGUGCCAGCAGCCGCGGUAAUACGAAGGGUGCAAGCGUUAAUCGGAAUUACUGGGCGUAAAGCGCGCGUAGGUGGUUUUGUAAGUUGGAGGUGAAAUCCCCUGGCUCAACCUGGGAACUGCCUCCAAAACUGCAUGACUAGAGUACGGUAGAGGGUAGUGGAAUUUCCUGUGUAGCGGUGAAAUGCGUAGAUAUAGGAAGGAACACCAGUGGCGAAGGCGACUACCUGGACUGAUACUGACACUGAGGUGCGAAAGCGUGGGGAGCAAACAGGAUUAGAAACCCCGGUAGUCC
RNAcentral lists this ribosomal RNA (450 nucleotides) under uncultured bacterium. RNAcentral's name for it is "bacterial SSU rRNA". It matches the Rfam family "Bacterial small subunit ribosomal RNA", at positions 354 to 796 of the family's 1533-position model. The record is from RNAcentral.